GUGAGGAAUUUUGCGCAAUGGGGGCAACCCUGACGCAGCGACGCCGCGUGGAGGACGAAGUCUUUCGGGAUGUAAACUCCUGUCAGUGGGGACGAUAAUGACGAUACCCACAGAGGAAGCACCGGCUAACUCCGUGCCAGCAGCCGCGGUAAGACGGAGGGUGCAAGCGUUGUUCGGAAUUACUGGGCGUAAAGCGUAUGUAGGCGGCAAGUUAAGUUCAAUGUUAAAGCCCACGGCUCAACCGAGGAGAUGCAUUGAAUACUGGCUAGCUAGAGGGUGUGAGAGGAAGACGGAAUUCCCAGUGUAGCGGUGAAAUGCGUAGAUAUUGGGAGGAACAUCGGUAGCGAAAGCGGUCUUCUGGGACAUACCUGACGCUGAGGUACGAAAGCGUGGGGAGCAAACGGGAUUAGAUACCCGAGUAGUCC
This 425-nucleotide ribosomal RNA is filed under the name uncultured bacterium. RNAcentral describes it as "partial 16S ribosomal RNA". It matches the Rfam family "Bacterial small subunit ribosomal RNA", at positions 354 to 796 of the family's 1533-position model. The record is from RNAcentral.